RNAcentral lists this non-coding RNA (89 nucleotides) under Fragilariopsis kerguelensis. The record is from RNAcentral. Lineage: Eukaryota; Bacillariophyta; Bacillariophyceae; Bacillariales; Bacillariaceae.
AACAAAAAUAAAGAAGCAGGUAUAUGUAGGUGAUUUGCAGACACAUUAUUGAAUCCUUGCUGUUUCUUCGUUUUCAUUUCUUCGUUUUC